This 2676-nucleotide unclassified non-coding RNA is filed under the name Yarrowia lipolytica. The record is from RNAcentral. Lineage: Eukaryota; Fungi; Ascomycota; Dipodascomycetes; Dipodascales.
CAGUCAUCAGAGUUUCGGUAACACGGCCCCGAGUGUGUCAGAGGUGGGGCAUGAGUGUCAUGUCAGCGGUGGAUGAGUGUGUCAGCGGUGGACAUUUCCCGACUGGCCUAUGACCAGUGGCCCUGGGCGCUUUUGUGCCAUCUUUACAGCGUCCGACUGCAGCAUGGACGACACACUCUUGUGGUGUUGUGCUGACACAGUUGGCCGUUUGCUCGAGACCAAAACAAGAAACUAACCACCUAAACCGAUCUAAAAGUGACACUGUUGGCGUCUAGCCCUGAAAAAAAAAGUUUCGAUUCGAUCGUGGGGACUUUGGAGACUCGACAAAACCGUGGAGCAACGGGGUUUUGUCCGAGAUAAAGAGGUCUUUUUGGUGGUUCCGACGAGAGGAUCUCAGUGCACUUGGCGGAUUUCCCACACCCACAGCCUCUUGGGUAGGCCUCCCAGCCUUUGGCACAACCUUGUCCAAGCAGAAGCUGUGAAAAUCCACUAACGCACCCAACUACCGCAUUCAGCGGUUUACAACGGCUGUUGGUGAAUCGCUCGCCGCGAUUACAUGGUCGAGCAACUACUGCACUCGCACAUAUGACCAUGUUCUCACCCAUCAGACGCUAUGGUCUGCAGCAGCAGUGCACAUAUCCGCCGCUGUCUCCUGUUUGCAUCUUUCUUUUGCUCGUAUGGCGUAUUGUCCAAGUCAAUGAAAAAGCCAAUCUCGACGAUCACCACGAUGGAACGGCUCUGAUUGGCUCGGGGUCAUGUGACUGGUCUUGUUGGCGUCUGUCGCCGCUCUGUCGCACCUCUAUCUCGGUCUAGAUUUAUCAUAGGUUUCACUUAUGAUCGCUAAGGAGUGGACAGGGAGGUUGUGUAGUCAGUAAGAUUCGGUGCGAGUAUCAGUACGAGUGCAGUACAUACCAGUACAAUACCAGUAUUGCCUUCUUGCACCAUGGUUUCCCUCUCUCAGUCACAGGCUUCAAGGGUAAAUUCCAUCAACUCGAAUCGGCUGUGACAACAAAGGGAAGUUUUCAAGCUGACGAAAAGUUCGACAGAUUACAGAUUCGACCGAACAUUGUCUACACCACUCACCUGGGUUGGAGAGAAAUGAGAGACGCCAUCGUAGACACGGCCAAGGCUCCCGAUUGGUGGCUCUUCGUCAUACUGAUCAUCAUGUUCGUCCUAUUGAUUGUGCCAGUCAAAGUGUUUCCUGUAGACACCCCUGUUUGGUGUAUUGUUCUUUUCAUGGGAUUGGUUCCUGUGCGCUCUCAAUGGGCAGUCUGAGCCCAUGAUUGGAUAUGCCAUGCCUGGGCGGUUCAUGGCUGUCAAUCUCUUCAAAGCAAGCCCAAGAGUACCCCCAGAUUGAUCUUCUGGCUGCUACUCUGUGCCACGUUGGUGAAUGGAGUGGUUGUAUUGGACGUCAUUGUUCACCUUUCCUGGCCAAACCACCUUCUUCACCGCCUCGGUUGCUUGGGGCGUUAUUGGACCGGCGAAGACUUUCGAAUAGUAUACUAUGAAGUGGAUAUUCUUGUUUGGAUCAUGUGUCGGACUCUUCUUCUACCCAGCUGAUGACCAAGUGGUGGCCCAAACACGCAGACAGAAUCGACUUUUACCGAUGCAAAUACCUCUACUUCAACCCUCCGAUGUUUGUUAUGGGACUUGUCGACGAUUGGGCAAGUGACCUACAGAGUCGGAGGUUUGUAUCUCGCUCUGCCGAAUCUGGCAUGGUGGAGAAAGUGUGCUUACAUGGAGGACACCAUUGUGACUGGCAUCGCCCUGUCGGCAAUCAUCUUCUUCUACUCGGUCCAACACCAUCCAAAACGGAUUGGUGGGAUAGUGGGGUAAUAACGCAACGUUAUUGGAAUCGGAUAUGAUGGAGAAGACAUUCCUCCGAAUGCACCGCCCUCCAGAGGGCUCGGAUACAAACCAGGAGUCCAAGUGGGUGAGAGUGGUGGGUGAGAGUGGUGGAUGAGAUGAUUGGUGACGCCACGGGUUCCGCUGCUGCUCCUAGUAUGUCGUCAAUGGGUUGUAUUCAGAAACUUCAGCGGCCCGACCCUCGUGCAACCAAGAUCAUCAUCUAGCUCAGUCCGAUGCCACUGUCGAAACAGUGAUUGGUUUCAAGCAUGUGGUGAUUGAUCCGGGUCUUUGAUACACUCCGGCGGAGGAUAACGUGAUUGUCAUUAGUUCAAGAAGUCUUUGAACACUCUCGAAAUGCCAGAUGGCUGAGGUAGAAAGACCACAGCCUUGUGUAUGUGAUGAACAGUCGCAGAGAGGGCGUUUGAAAGAUCUACAGACUCAAUGGGGUCCGUGUCUUUGCGUUUCUGUCGGGCGUAGUUGAUCUGGUUUCGUAACGAACGGCUAUCCACAUCUCUGCUCUGGGUGAAGCACAACCAAUGAGUAUCAUGACAAGUGACGAGCAAUAAAAAAGGCGAGCAAUAAAAAAGGCGAACAAUAAAAAGAGCAAUGAACCUGCAUGAAUGGCAAUUGGACCUUUUCGACAGCAGAAACCGAAAGCACCCCUUCUACUUUACACCUCUACUCUCCCUACAGUCUUUCCGGUACAGUACAGGCUCUCUGGCUUGUAAGCAGACCAUGGUCGUGUGAGCGAAUUUUGUUCUCCCGAUGAGUCUCCAAGACUCUGGUUAUCGGAACGCCCCAAGCAAGUGAUGUAAGUUGUUAUUGUUU